GCACGCCCGAGCGCUUUCAAUCCAUUUCACCCUUUGUGCAUCACCGCGCGGGGUCUCUUCCGAGAGGCUCGCGUUUUUCAUACAAACACGUUUAUAGUCAGUUUAGAAUGUCACUUAUUUGCGAUCACACGCAAUCAAUACAACUUUCAACAAUGGAUCUCUUGGCUCUCGCAUCGAUGAAGAACGCAGCGAAAUGCGAUACGUAAUGUGAAUUGCAGAAUUCAGUGAAUCAUCGAAUCUUUGAACGCACCUUGCGCCCCUUGGUAUUCCGAGGGGCACACCCGUUUGAGUGUCGUGAAAUUCUCAAACCUUCUUGGUCUCUCGAUCAAGAUGGCUUUGGACUUGGAGGCGUUUGCUGGCUUUGCGAAAAGCCAGCUCCUCUUAAAUGCAUUAGUGGGGUCCCCUUUGCCGAUCCCGAGGCGUGAUAAGUCAUUUCUAC
RNAcentral lists this unclassified non-coding RNA (439 nucleotides) under Pulveroboletus retipes. RNAcentral describes it as "sequence contains ITS1, 5.8S rRNA gene, ITS2". The stretch from base 142 to 295 matches the Rfam family "5.8S ribosomal RNA". Lineage: Eukaryota; Fungi; Basidiomycota; Agaricomycetes; Boletales; Boletaceae. The record is from RNAcentral.